GGAAAGAUAAGCUAAGCUAAGCUACCAGGUUCAUACCCUGUUUAUGGAGGUCACUCCUCUUUCUA
This 65-nucleotide transfer RNA is filed under the name unidentified. RNAcentral's name for it is "Epeorus unispinosus tRNA-Met". The record is from RNAcentral.